Molecule: non-coding RNA, 448 nt
Organism: Arachis ipaensis
Lineage: Eukaryota; Viridiplantae; Streptophyta; Magnoliopsida; Fabales; Fabaceae
Source: RefSeq, a predicted model, not a curated record
UGGCCUCAUCGCCGUGCCACCCUCACACCAUAGAUCUACUCUGUUCGCGAGCUGAGCUAAGGAAGGAGAGACGAACGCGACGGGGUGGAGUGGGAGAGCCGCGCCGGCGCUGUUGGGGUCUCACCGCCGCCGGAAAAGAGGUUCUGGCCACUGCAGGUGUCUCUGUCGGAGGGGGAAACUGUGCCUCUGCAUUUCUAACCGCUGGGAGUGGUUAUGUGACUUCUGGGAUCACCGCCGGAGCUCCGGGCUGAGCUUCUGCCACUUGAGACCCUGCUGCCGUCGCCGGAGAACUCUGCCGUUUUUUUAUAGUUGAUCCACCGAAGCUUCUGGCCGCUGCCGGAGCUGUUGUCGGGGCCGGUUCGAAAUCGCAACUGUUUCGUGUUGUUAUUCCGUGUUGCUAUGGUUAUUGCGAACGUGACUGGGAGCUGAGGUUUUGGUUGCCGUCAGU